This is an unclassified non-coding RNA of Spermophilus dauricus (Daurian ground squirrel), 89 nucleotides long. Its record names the gene 7SK. It matches the Rfam family "7SK RNA". From Rfam's summary of the family: 7SK was discovered as an abundant small nuclear RNA in the mid-70s but a possible function has only recently been suggested. Two independent studies have found that 7SK RNA binds the CDK9/cyclin T complex (known as elongation factor P-TEFb). Lineage: Eukaryota; Metazoa; Chordata; Mammalia; Rodentia; Sciuridae. The record is from Ensembl.
GGUGAUCUGGCUGUGACAUCUGUCACCCAGCUGAUUGGCCAGGAAUGAUUUGGCUGAUCUGGCUGGCUAGACGGGUGUCCCCUUCUGCC